CAAGAUGUAGCUAAACAUAAAGCAUUCAGCUUACGCCUGAAAGAUAUCUACCAUCUAUCGGAUCAUCUUGA
RNAcentral lists this transfer RNA (71 nucleotides) under Gavia stellata (red-throated loon). RNAcentral's name for it is "tRNA-Val". The record is from RNAcentral. Lineage: Eukaryota; Metazoa; Chordata; Aves; Gaviiformes; Gaviidae.